RNAcentral lists this ribosomal RNA (425 nucleotides) under uncultured bacterium. Its description in RNAcentral is "partial 16S ribosomal RNA". It matches the Rfam family "Bacterial small subunit ribosomal RNA", at positions 354 to 796 of the family's 1533-position model. The record is from RNAcentral.
GUGGGGAAUCUUAGACAAUGGGCGCAAGCCUGAUCUAGCCAUGCCGCGUGAGCGAUGAAGGCCUUAGGGUUGUAAAGCUCUUUCAGGGGGGAAGAUAAUGACGGUACCCCCAGAAGAAGCCCCGGCUAACUCCGUGCCAGCAGCCGCGGUAAUACGGAGGGGGCUAGCGUUGUUCGGAAUUACUGGGCGUAAAGCGCACGUAGGCGGACCAGAAAGUCAGGGGUGAAAUCCCGGGGCUCAACCCCGGAACUGCCUUUGAAACUCCUGGGCUUGAGGUCGAGAGAGGUGAGUGGAAUUCCGAGUGUAGAGGUGAAAUUCGUAGAUAUUCGGAGGAACACCAGUGGCGAAGGCGGCUCACUGGCUCGAUACUGACGCUGAGGUGCGAAAGCGUGGGGAGCAAACAGGAUUAGAAACCCGUGUAGUCC